UCCAGGGUAGCUCAGUUGGUAGAGCAGCUAAAUUACAUUUCGCUGCCUGGCAAAAAAUGUUCCUAAAAUCUAUUUAAGGAGCCGGUCGCAGGUUCGAGUCCUGCCCCUGGAG
This 112-nucleotide transfer RNA is filed under the name Candidatus Brocadiales bacterium. RNAcentral describes it as "tRNA-OTHER". It matches the Rfam family "tRNA". Rfam says of the family: Transfer RNA (tRNA) molecules are approximately 80 nucleotides in length. Their secondary structure includes four short double-helical elements and three loops (D, anti-codon, and T loops). Lineage: Bacteria; Pseudomonadati; Planctomycetota; Candidatus Brocadiia; Candidatus Brocadiales. The record is from RNAcentral.